GAUGAACGCUGGCGGCGUGCCUAAUACAUGCAAGUCGAGCGAACAGACGAGGAGCUUGCUCCUCUGACGUUAGCGGCGGACGGGUGAGUAACACGUGGAUAACCUACCUAUAAGACUGGGAUAACUUCGGGAAACCGGAGCUAAUACCGGAUAAUAUAUUGAACCGCAUGGUUCAAUAGUGAAAGACGGUUUUGCUGUCACUUAUAGAUGGAUCCGCGCCGCAUUAGCUAGUUGGUAAGGUAACGGCUUACCAAGGCGACGAUGCGUAGCCGACCUGAGAGGGUAGUCGGACACAGUGGAACUGAGAAGCGGGCCAAACCCCAGAGGGGGGCAGGAGGAGGAAAAUUGCCGAAAAGGGAAAAAACCUGAAGGAACAACGGCGGGGGAGUGAGAAAGGGCUUCGGAUCGAAAAACACUGUUAUUAGGGAAAAAAAAAGGUGUAAGUAACGAUGCAAGGCUGGAGGGAACCAAAGAAGAAAACCCGGGUAAACUACGG
Molecule: ribosomal RNA, 496 nt
Filed under: uncultured bacterium
Lineage: Bacteria
Description: partial 16S ribosomal RNA
Rfam family: Bacterial small subunit ribosomal RNA
Source: RNAcentral